UCAGUUCCAUAGGCAUGGCCAUGGAGCUAGGCCACCGUCAUCGCCUCUCCGUGCCAUACCAACAUCGCAGGUCCGGGCUCAUGCAGAGAAACACAACCUACUCUACACAGCCAUCGCCACUGAUAUCACCCGAACGUAGAAAAAGUUGAAAGAAAUGGAUAACAAAGGAGGAAGAUUUUGCGUCGUAAGGGGUCCUCGGCUGUUGUCCUGUAUUUUCUAUCGAGCAGCGGUGCUGCCUUGCGCUUGCGUCCCGUCAGGCUUCGCUUUGUGGAAUGACUUGGCUUUCUUCAUGCCACAAUUCAAUUGGAUCUUGAAAUGGCCCGAGAUUCAUCGUAGCCUGAUCACCAGAAGAAACGCAGACUGCAGGAAAUCAUAUUUUCUGUCCAUUGUGCGAUACUUUUGUGGCAUUAAAACAUAUGUGCGUGUGAAACUCCUCUCGACAG
Molecule: long non-coding RNA, 443 nt
Organism: Ornithodoros turicata
Lineage: Eukaryota; Metazoa; Arthropoda; Arachnida; Ixodida; Argasidae
Exons: 4
Source: RefSeq, a predicted model, not a curated record